UACGAAGGGGGCUAGCGUUGUUCGGAUUUACUGGGCGUAAAGCGCACGUAGGCGGAUCGUUAAGUCGGAGGUGAAAUCCUGGAGCUCAACUCCAGAACUGCCUUCGAUACUGGCGAUCUUGAGUCCGGAAGAGGUGAGUGGAACUCCUAGUGUAGAGGUGGAAUUCGUAGAUAUUAGGAAGAACACCAGUGGCGAAGGCGGCUCACUGGUCCGGUACUGACGCUGAGGUGCGAAAGCGUGGGGAGCAAACAGG
This 253-nucleotide ribosomal RNA is filed under the name uncultured bacterium. RNAcentral's name for it is "partial 16S ribosomal RNA". It matches the Rfam family "Bacterial small subunit ribosomal RNA", at positions 524 to 776 of the family's 1533-position model. The record is from RNAcentral.